Molecule: ribosomal RNA, 327 nt
Filed under: uncultured eukaryote
Lineage: Eukaryota
Description: partial 18S ribosomal RNA
Rfam family: Eukaryotic small subunit ribosomal RNA
Source: RNAcentral
CCCUUAGAUGUUCUGGGCCGCACGCGCGCUACACUGACGAAUGCAACGAGCUUAUAACCUUGGCCGAAAGGUCUGGGUAAUCUCCAAAUUUCGUCGUGAUGGGGAUAGAUUAUUGCAAUUAUUAAUCUUCAACGAGGAAUGCCUAGUAAGCGCAAGUCAUCAGCUUGCGUUGAUUACGUCCCUGCCCUUUGUACACACCGCCCGUCGCUCCUACCGAUUGAAUGGUCCGGUGAAGCGUUCGGACCGUGGCCUUUGGACGGUUCGCCGUCUGUUGGCUGCGGGAAGUUCGUUAAACCUUAUCAUUUAGAGGGAGGAGAAGUCGUANCA